RNAcentral lists this ribosomal RNA (491 nucleotides) under uncultured bacterium. Its description in RNAcentral is "partial 16S ribosomal RNA". It matches the Rfam family "Bacterial small subunit ribosomal RNA", at positions 29 to 506 of the family's 1533-position model. The record is from RNAcentral.
AGUGAACGCUGGCGGUAGGCCUAACACAUGCAAGUCGAACGGCAGCACAGUAAGAGCUUGCUCUUACGGGUGGCGAGUGGCGGACGGGUGAGGAAUACAUCGGAAUCUACUUUUUCGUGGGGGAUAACGUAGGGAAACUUACGCUAAUACCGCAUACGACCUACGGGUGAAAGCAGGGGAUCUUCGGACCUUGCGCGAUUGAAUGAGCCGAUGUCGGAUUAGCUAGUUGGCGGGGUAAAGGCCCACCAAGGCGACGAUCCGUAGCUGGUCUGAGAGGAUGAUCGGCCACACGGGAACUGAGACCCGGUCCAGCCCCCUACGGGAGGCAGCAGUGGGGAAUUUUGGAAAAUGGGCGCAAGCCUGACCCAGCCAUCCCGCGGGGGUGAAGAAGGCCUUCGGGUUGUAAAGCCCUUUUGUUGGGAAAAAAAAGCAGCAGGUUAAUACCCCGCUGUUCUGACGGUACCCAAAGAAUAAGCACCGGCUAACUUCGU